AAGAAAAAAAACCCAGGAUUUCAUUAUCCAACGUUUGACCUUCCGUCUUAUUUAAAAAGAAUAUAAAAAAAUUAAAAAGACAAGUCACGUAUAAAAUAUUAAUCAUGUGUUAUCAUCUAACAACAAUGAAAAUACUAAUUAUAAAAAACUUCAAGUAAGACGGACAACCAAACGUUGGACACAGAAAUCUAGAGUUUGUUUUCUU
This is a non-coding RNA of Oryza glaberrima (African rice), 205 nucleotides long. NCBI's taxonomy places the organism in Eukaryota, Viridiplantae, Streptophyta, Magnoliopsida, Poales, Poaceae. The record is from Rfam.